RNAcentral lists this unclassified non-coding RNA (906 nucleotides) under Hevea brasiliensis (rubber tree). The record is from RNAcentral. Lineage: Eukaryota; Viridiplantae; Streptophyta; Magnoliopsida; Malpighiales; Euphorbiaceae.
GGCCUCUUCUAGCCACACCUUAUUUUGUUAACUCUUGAGCUGGAGCUGCAAGGCUGUUGACUAUUAACCAUUCCUUUGGCAAACUCUGUUUUUUGACAUUAACCUAGGUCAUCAAAUUUAUAUUCAUGGGAAAUUCUAUGAAUCAGACGGAUACAUCAUGUUAUUAUAAAUUGUCAUUGUUAUUUUGUACAGUUGAAGUGUUCAUAUCUGUAUGUACUAACAAUAUGUUUAUCAUUGAGGUUGGGAUCCACUUUUUCAAAAAGUGUGCUGUUAAAAAAAGUAGUUUAAAAGUGCUAUUUAGUUCUUUGGAAGUUUUUAUGACAAAUAUGUCAAAUCUACCUUAAUGACAAUUUUUAAUGGCCUCUAAUAGACACAUUAAGGAUGGUGUUUUUUCUCAACAAAAGCUCUAACUGCAAUGCCAAACAAAAUCUAUUAUGGACUGAAAUUUUCCCUGAAAAGGAUAAUUAUUAUCAGCCAGGUUCAGCCAGCUCAAAUUCAUACAAACUCAAAUGAAUAGCCCAGUUAUAUUAAAUGUUUUUUUUUUUUAAUCUUAAUGCUAUGGCCUAUUAGAUGAUGACAAAGUUGCAAUAGUUCUUUUGUUUUUAGUCAACCCAAUCUAGUUAUGGAUUGAUUUUGGGUUAAACUUUGUUAAAGAUUAUGAUUAUUUGUGUAUCAUUUUAGCCAUCAUAUGUUCUGUGUUAGUGUUCAUCAACUUUCUGUUUCUGUAGGGCGGUUAACAUUGACUAAUAGUGCUCUCUACUUUGAGUCGUUGGGAGUUGGUCUAUAUGAUAAAGCUGUUAGAUAUGAUCUGGCAACGGAUAUGAAACAGGUCAUAAAACCAGAAUUGACUGGACCAUUGGGUGCUCGUCUCUUUGAUAAAGCUGUGAUGUAUAAAUCAGCAUCAGU